GUUGACCUCGAAUCAGGUAGGAAUACCCGCUGAACUUAAGCAUAUC
RNAcentral lists this ribosomal RNA (46 nucleotides) under Epichloe uncinata. Its description in RNAcentral is "partial 28S ribosomal RNA". Lineage: Eukaryota; Fungi; Ascomycota; Sordariomycetes; Hypocreales; Clavicipitaceae. The record is from RNAcentral. RNAcentral also lists the same sequence under 2 other names.